UGUUCUGUGGCGGAGUUGGUUAACGCGCCCUGUCUAGCAAACUUGGGGAGACGUGGGUUCAAAUCCCACCAGAACUA
This is a non-coding RNA of Aedes albopictus (Asian tiger mosquito), 77 nucleotides long. NCBI's taxonomy places the organism in Eukaryota, Metazoa, Arthropoda, Insecta, Diptera, Culicidae. The record is from Rfam.